UAACCAUACCAAGGGUCUAUGGUCCGUGAGCAAUGUAAAUUGUCGGCCAUAAAGUGAUCUGGAGGCAUACGCGACUGGGAGAUCUUUUCCCACUGGUCCCUGACUAAGAAUGGCGCCAAUGGCAUAAUUAGAAGCAUCCGUAGUAACGAGGAAUGACUGCGAAAAAUUCGGGAACUGUAAUAGAGGUUCAGCACAGAUGAUAUCUCUUAAGGUUUCGAAGGAAGUUUGCACGUCAGCUGUCCAACAAAAAGGCUGAAGGGUUAAUCCAGCGUUUUGUAACCGAGU
Molecule: long non-coding RNA, 285 nt
Organism: Osmia bicornis bicornis
Lineage: Eukaryota; Metazoa; Arthropoda; Insecta; Hymenoptera; Megachilidae
Exons: 3
Source: RefSeq, a predicted model, not a curated record